Molecule: ribosomal RNA, 440 nt
Filed under: uncultured bacterium
Lineage: Bacteria
Description: partial 16S ribosomal RNA
Rfam family: Bacterial small subunit ribosomal RNA
Source: RNAcentral
CCUACGGGAGGCAGCAGUGGGGAAUAUUGCACAAUGGGGGAAACCCUGAUGCAGCGACGCCGCGUGAGUGAAGAAGUAAUUCGUUAUGUAAAGCUCUAUCAGCAGGGAAGAAAAUGACGGUACCUGAGUAAGAAGCCCCGGCUAACUACGUGCCAGCAGCCGCGGUAAUACGGGGGGUGCAAGCGUUGUCCGGAAUCAUUGGGCGUAAAGAGUUCGUAGGUGGCACGUUAAGUCUGGUGUGAAAGGCGGAAGCUCAACUUCCGUAGGGCACUGGAUACUGGCGAGCUUGAAUGCGGUAGAGGUAAAGGGAAUUCCUGGUGUAGCGGUGAAAUGCGUAGAUAUCAGGAGGAACAUCGGUGGCGUAAGCGCUUUACUGGGCCGUAAUUGACGCUGAGGAACGAAAGCCGGGGUAGCAAAUGGGAUUAGAUACCCCUGUAGUC